AAGGCCAAGAGGGGGGUGUAAGCCCGCUCAGGGGUGAAGGAAUAAAUGUUUUGGGCCCUAGGCCAAAACAGCUAAGGGUUGAAGAAACCACUCAGGCGCAAGCUGAAGAAGUGAGCCUUCGUUCUCACUCGGCACAAGCUGCAACAGAAAAAACUCAUUCGAAAAAAAGCCAAAACAUGGAAGCAAAGCUCUCCGCUUCGACGUCCCUUCCUCUUCGGCGCUUGUGUCUGUGCCGUUUCAAGGAGACCGUUCGUGUCCAUGCCUGUUCAAGAAGCGAAUCAAACUCAACCAUGUAUUUGCAUUUUGGAAUUCAUAAAUUGCGUUUUGGAAGAGUUCUUCAUCGCGAUUCAGAAGAAUCAGCAUCGUGACUUCGUGUUUGUUCUUCGCUCAGGACUCACGUUCAUGGCAUCAGAUUCUGGUGUUCAUCAUCACCGUGUUUCAGAUUGCAUCACGUCUUCAGAAUCUUCGCUCGCGUUUCAAGCUUCAGCAUCAUCAUCCCAACAACGUCGCGUUCGUUUCAACAUUCUUCACAGCUUCAACAAAAUGUCCUCAAUCGAAUUCAAUCGUUGUCUUCACCAAUCCGGAGUUACAACAUCCAUAUCAAUAAUCAAAUUGCAACAUCAAAGAGAGUUCGUGGAUCGUGUUCAACCUUAUAUAUUCUCCCUCAAAUGAAUCUCCAAAAUCAACACUCGAUUUCAUCUAUCACUGCGCACGCGAAAUCAAACAGAACAAAAUCAAAAUCAAGAAAACUUAACGGAUUUGAAGCUUCAAUCCCAAACAGAUUGUUGCUAUAUGUAUGUGUUGUGUGGGUGAAUUGCUCUGGUAUGCUUCUGCUCGAUGAAGAAGAGUUGUGUAUGAGAUAAUUUAGAUAAUUUUUCCUGUGAUUGAAUGAAGAAUCGAGAGUGAAGAGUGAAAGUUGCAGAAUGAUGAUGAUGAACCAUCCCCCAAUUCUGAAGCGUGUGAGGUUGAAAAUCUAACUCGAGCCAUGAACAUGGAGCUAUGUAUAUGGGUUUCACUUGAAGAAAAUGGCCAUGGGAAAUUGUGGUUGAAAAUUGGACGGUUUCGUGGAUUUGAAUCAUAUGAAGUCUUGGUUAUGAAUUGGUAGAUUAGGAAUUGGAAUUAGGUCUUAUUGUAAGAUGUAAUGGAUGUAUUUGUUUGAAAUUGUGAUGUAUAAUUUUGUUUAAUGGUUGUAAUAUAAAUUGAAAUUGAAUGAAGGAUUAUGGUUGAAUUUGGAUCAAUGGUUGAAUGUUGCUUCGAGGAUGGAUUCAGGAUGACUGUUGGAACUGUCUUUUGACUUUGGAAUUGGAUUAAUUGGCUUAUCUAUAACAUAUUGGAAUUGGAAUGUUGAAUUUAUGGUUGAAAUUUGAAUGAAGAUGUAAAUGGUUAUGGUUUGCGUCUUGUAAUGUAAUGAAUCAAGUUUUGUGAAAAUGGACAUGGUUUAAAAUGAACCAUGGUGUGUAAUUUGAAAUGGAUAUGGUAAUGAACACGGAUUAAAGAUGAA
This is an RNA transcript of Lathyrus oleraceus (garden pea), 1501 nucleotides long. RefSeq lists it as uncharacterized. NCBI's taxonomy places the organism in Eukaryota, Viridiplantae, Streptophyta, Magnoliopsida, Fabales, Fabaceae. The record is from RefSeq and is a predicted model, not a curated record. The transcript has 3 exons.